GUCGGGUGUGGUGGCACACGCCUGUAAUCCCAGCUACUCGGGACACUGAGACAGGAGGUUUGCAAGUUCAAAGCCAGCCUCAGCAAUGGUGAGGUGCUAAGCAACUCAGUGAAACCCUGUCUCUA
RNAcentral lists this small RNA (125 nucleotides) under Marmota monax (woodchuck). The record is from RNAcentral. Lineage: Eukaryota; Metazoa; Chordata; Mammalia; Rodentia; Sciuridae.